GACGAACGCUGGCGGCGUGCUUAACACAUGCAAGUCGAGCGGUAAGGCCCUUUCGGGGGUACACGAGCGGCGAACGGGUGAGUAACACGUGGGUGACCUGCCUUUAGCUCUGGGAUAAGCCUGGGAAACCGGGUCUAAUACCGGAUAUGACUCCGCGGCGCAUGUUGUGGGGUGGAAAGCCUUGUGCGGCUGGAGAUGGGCCCGCGGCCUAUCAGCUUGUUGGUGGGGUGAUGGCCUACCAAGGCGACGACGGGUAGCCGGCCUGAGAGGGCGACCGGCCACACUGGGACUGAGACACGGCCCAGACUCCUACGGGAGGCAGCAGUGGGGAAUCUUGCGCAAUGGGCGAAAGCCUGACGCAGCGACGCCGCGUGAGGGAUGACGGCCUGGU
Molecule: ribosomal RNA, 391 nt
Filed under: uncultured bacterium
Lineage: Bacteria
Description: bacterial SSU rRNA
Rfam family: Bacterial small subunit ribosomal RNA
Source: RNAcentral